Molecule: transfer RNA, 2788 nt
Filed under: Sus scrofa (pig)
Lineage: Eukaryota; Metazoa; Chordata; Mammalia; Artiodactyla; Suidae
Description: lncRNA (ENSSSCG00040017449.1)
Source: RNAcentral
UUUUUUUUUUUUUUUUUGGCCAUGCCGCUGCCUUGUGGGAUCUCAGUUCUCUGACCAGGGAUUGAGCCUGAACCCCAGCAGUGAGAGCACAGAAUCCUAACCACUAGACCACCAGGGAACUCUGAGGCAUGGGACUAUAACAUGCGUGGCAAGGAUUUUUACCCCGAGAGCACAAGAUAAGAACAUACUGGAGUGAUUCUUUUAAAAUGCAGUGACUGGGACAAAAUCUUUAUUUUGAGGUCACGUUUCAGGCAACAGCAGAGAGCUCACUGAACCACACAAGUGUGUGGGCAGAGGCUUUACCCCAGCCUCAUAAUUCACUGGACUCCUCAAUAUUCAUCUUCAAGAGAAACUACACAGUCUAAUGUGUGUUCCAGGGCUUGUACCUGAAGAUUCAAUGACAGUAACAUAGAAGAUUGAUUUUGGAGGGCAGUGUUGCAGACGUUGCUAAAAGUUUUGGUCGAGUUAUCUACACCUUUGGUGUAAUGACAGAAUUCAUACAGGUCAGAAACUAUGGAGAUUAACUGAACAUGGGAAGAAUUUGAUGAAAUGAUGCCCCCUGAGAUUUCAUCACAGAACUCAUAUUUGGGAGAAUGCUUCUAAAUGUAUUGAAUUAGGUAAAAAAAAGAAUUGUUGUUUUUUGCUUUUUAGGGCCACACCUGCAGCAUAUGAAAGUUCCCAGGCUAGGGGUCUUAAUCGGAGCUGUAGCUGCCGGCCUACACCACAGCCAUGCAGGAUCCGAGCCGCGUCUGACCUCCAGCACAGCUCACAGCAGCGCCAGAUCCUUCACCCACUGCGCAAGGCCAGGGAUCGAACCUUUAUCCUCAUGGCUACUAGUCGGGUUCGUUAACCAGCGAGCCACUCCGGGCACGCCUCAACCUGAAGUUUGAAGUUUCUUGGUCUCAGGCCUUCUCGACAGGCCUUUGACGAUGGUCCUGUGGCAGGAGUUGGUGAGGGGCAGGAUCUGACUUCUCGAGGGGUGGUACCUUCCCAUCCGUGUUCCCUGUGAAAACGAGGAGCCUGUGUUACCAAAUGCAGUUGUGUGUAAAGUAGCAGUUGUGGGGGGCAGAGGAUAAAAUAUAAAACUCUGAUGGGACUCAUCAUUCUUAUUGCAUUCAGGGUCUUUGUCUAUGGUCAGGUGACCGCGGGUUAUAGGACACGGUGCCCCACCAGAGAUUGAACAGAGCAGGAUGGACCUUAAAGGACUGGACUUGAGAGUGACAGCUUCCUAGGGACCGAUUAUGUGAUAGGAAAAGGGCACAGGAACCGUUGGUCACUUUCUUCAUUGCACGGGAAUAGGUGUGUUUGCAUCUGUGUCUGCUGAGCAGUAAGUCCUUGGAAUUGAAGAGAGAGCAGUUACCUGUAGCAAAAAAUUGAAUUACUAGGUGGUGAGGCUUAGUGGAGGAUAAGCUUAAGGUUUUCUUUUUUUUUUGAAGGGCCUCACCUGCGUUAGGGGUUGAACCAGAGCUGCAGCUGCCGGCCUAGUAGGCCACAGCCAGAGCCACAGCAACACAGGAUCUGAGCCUCAUCUGCGACCUACACCACGGCUCACGGCAACGCCGAACCUUAACCCAUUGAGCGAGGGCAGGGGUCAAACCCACAUCCUCAUGAAUGCUAGUCGAGUUCUUAACCCACUGUGCCACAGUAGGAACUCCCGGAAUAGGAUUCUUUACUAAAGAAAGAAUGAUUCCCAAGCUUAAGGUUUGAACUUCCAGAUUGCCUCAAAGGAAGGAGCCCUCAGGCUUUUUUAUCAGCUUGUCUAGAUAGGCUGAACAGUAGGGAUUUUUUUGAGAAUAAAAGGUGUCAAUAGACAUCAAAAAAUAGAAUCAGGGAGUUCCCGUCGUGGCUCAGUAGUUAACGAAUCCAACUAGGAGCCAUGAGGUUGCUGAGUUCGAUCCCUGCCCUUGCUCAGUGGGUUAAGGAUCCAGUGUUGCCACGAGCUAUAGUGUGGACCAAGACUCGGCUUGGAUCCUGUGUUGCUGUGUCUCUGGUGUAGGCAGGCGGCUACAGCUCCAAUUAGACCUCUAGCCUGGGAACCUCCAUGUGCCACAGGUUCGGCCCUAGAAGAGGCAAAAAAAAAAACCCACAAAUAAAUAAAUAGAAUCAGGAGUUCCCUUGGCUCAGUAGUUAACACCACUAGUAUCCAUGAGAAUGUGGGUUCUAUCCCCGGCCUUUCUCAGUGGAUUAAGGAUCAGGUGUUGCCAUGAGCUGUGGUGUAGGUUGCAGACUUGGCUAGGAUCCUGUGUUGCUGUGGCUGUGGUGCAGGCCGGCAGCUAUAGCUCCGAAUCAACCCUUAGCCUGGGAACUCCCAUAUGCCUCAGGUGCAUCCCUAAAAAGACAAANAAAAAAAAAAAAAAAAAAAAAAAAAGAAAAAAAAACAAACCGGACUCUUUAAUAAACACUGACUGUUCACUGUUGAAAUUCCUGAUUUUUUUUUCAUUUUUUAAAGUUUUAUUGACGUACAGUUGAUUUAUAAUGUGAUAAUUUCUGCUGUACAACAAUGUGAUUCAAUGAUGCAUGUAGAAAUUCCCGACUUUUUGAUUUGGAAAACCACACUUCUUCAUGCUAUUAAUUUACUACAUUUCUUUUCCUGCCUACGCAUAUAUGCCAUUGUAUGAUUCUUGAAAAUGCUUGUAAAAUACUAUUUAUAUAAAUGGCCAGAAAUAUUUUUAUCCUAGUUUAAUGAUAAUUAAUGUUUGAAAUUGUUUAUUAAAUAACAUAACUAAGCAAUUUACUCAAAGAGCAAUUUCCCACAUGCUAUUAAAAUGUCAAUUUCAAAUUGUGAUAG